Molecule: long non-coding RNA, 309 nt
Filed under: Erythranthe guttata (spotted monkey flower)
Lineage: Eukaryota; Viridiplantae; Streptophyta; Magnoliopsida; Lamiales; Phrymaceae
Description: long non-coding RNA (EGUT_LNC003337)
Source: RNAcentral
GAGUCAGCUCCCCCUGCAUGUGUAUCUCCCUCUGUGAAUGAUCCUUAGGCAGCUCCUCUUGUAAAUGCAUUCAUUCUUCCCCUUUGCUUACUCGGCUUGAUAGACUUGGAAGGUGGUGGAUGACAACGUGGUAAAUUAUCCACGUGAUAAGAGACUCAGCAAAUAACGUCGGCAUUAGCUCCUCCUUUUAUAUUCUUGUGAAGCUCUGGAGAAAUCAAACAAGGAAACCAAUUAAUGACAAUUACCACAAUAAUAAUAAAAAGAUGGAAUUCCUUCUAUUUUGGAUAGACACGUUCAGGUGAUUAAUAU